AUUAUUUUGACGCAUAGCGGAUGGUACGUGAAAAAUAGAUUUCUAGAAACUUCACUAUUCAAUUCAAGUGAACAUUCAUCUUGAAUAAGUCUAGAAUCCGAAAAUUAAGUUAUUUUUACGCACAAUCUUUAGGCUGUUUCUUUAAAAUC
Molecule: non-coding RNA, 149 nt
Organism: Bombyx mori (domestic silkworm)
Lineage: Eukaryota; Metazoa; Arthropoda; Insecta; Lepidoptera; Bombycidae
Source: RefSeq, marked provisional